This 229-nucleotide ribosomal RNA is filed under the name uncultured bacterium. RNAcentral's name for it is "partial 16S ribosomal RNA". It matches the Rfam family "Bacterial small subunit ribosomal RNA", at positions 524 to 753 of the family's 1533-position model. The record is from RNAcentral.
UACGUAGGGUGCGAGCGUUAAUCGGAAUUACUGGGCGUAAGCGUGCGCAGGCGGUUUUGUAAGCCAGAUGUGAAAUCCCCGGGCUUAACCUGGGAAUGGCAUUUGGGACUGCAAGGCUGGAGUGCGGCAGAGGAGACUGGAAUUCCUGGUGUAGCGGUGAAAUGCGUAGAUAUCAGGAGGAACACCGAUGGCGAAGGCAGGUCUCUGGGCUGACACUGACGCUCAUGCA